This 380-nucleotide ribosomal RNA is filed under the name uncultured bacterium. RNAcentral's name for it is "bacterial SSU rRNA". It matches the Rfam family "Bacterial small subunit ribosomal RNA", at positions 422 to 793 of the family's 1533-position model. The record is from RNAcentral.
CUCGUAAAGCUCUGUUGUUAAAGAAGAACACGUAUGAGAGUAACUGUUCAUACGUUGACGGUAUUUAACCAGAAAGUCACGGCUAACUACGUGCCAGCAGCCGCGGUAAUACGUAGGUGGCAAGCGUUAUCCGGAUUUAUUGGGCGUAAAGAGAGUGCAGGCGGUUUUCUAAGUCUGAUGUGAAAGCCUUCGGCUUAACCGGAGAAGUGCAUCGGAAACUGGAUAACUUGAGUGCAGAAGAGGGUAGUGGAACUCCAUGUGUAGCGGUGGAAUGCGUAGAUAUAUGGAAGGAACACCAGUGGCGAAGGCGGCUACCUGGUCUGCAACUGACGCUGAGACUCGAAAGCAUGGGUAGCGAACAGGAUUAGAUACCCUGGUAG